AUGGCUAUCCCCGCCGUAUGUUCUUAUACGGGCGAAGGGCGAGGCAGAGGGAUGCAAUGGUGGGGAAUCCUGACAGUCCUGAACCUAGCCAUGUGCUUAGACGAGGGAACGAGUCCCGAGGCGCCUCCGGGGGAGCAUCCCCUGGGGAAGUGUGAGCAGUGCCGGACUGCCAUAGUAACCGAGCGAAUGAUCAACUGUCCUCUGGAACUACAAGCUGGGUUAUGCUGGUCGAAUGGCACCCAGUUUAGUCUGUGUAAAUUGAAGGGGGAGGUUUGGUGUUCCCGCCCAGGGGCAAGUGUUGAGGAAGGGCAGUUUCAAACUUUGGAAGAACAAAAGACCCAAACGACCCACUUCAAAAACAAAAGGGAGGUGGGGGGAGUCCCUCCGAUCUCAGUCUGCGGACAAUGUAAUAAAACUGUCUGGAUUAGAGGUAAAAGGCAAUCAACUUUUAUAGCUUACUACAAAGUCAACCCUCUAUGUUACAAUAAAGCGAGCUUGAAAACAUGUACUAUAAGUGGGAAAAUGUAUUGGGAGGGGAGAAAUUUGAAACAUGAAACAAAGGCUUCCUUCAAUAAUGAGCCUAUAAUCCUGGAUUUGUUGAAAAGUGAUGACGAUCGGGUGUGUUUACAAUUCGACCAGGUAUUCUGUUUUUCUAGAGAUGAGGAAAGGUUAGAUCCAAAAAACAAAAUAAAACAACUAACCCUAGAAUUAAAAAGACGAAAAAUGGAAAAUAAAAGAAAAAGGCUAGAACAAGAGAGGCUAAACUCUCUCAGUGAACAUUACGAACAGUUGGAAAAACAAUAUAAUAGCUGGGGAUUACCCAGCCCCAACCAAAACUUAUUCAUAGACCUGAUGCAGGAGAUUGCCACAGAAUUAGGUCUAUCAAACUGUUGGAUAUGUGGUGGCUUGAAAUCGGCCGAAAGAUGGCCAUGGAAGGGAGAAGGAUUAACCCCAGAACAAUUACUAAAAUGGAAAAGACUAAAGUUAUCCAGAACUACACGAAGACCUGAGAGAUGGGUAAUAGAUCAAAGAAUAAUUAGAACUUUCUGCAUUAGCAGGGAAGGAAAAGAAUUUACUGAUUUGGUGGGUUACACCCCGUGUGUAAACACUCUCACGGUAAAUUCAGAUAGCAAAACAAAGGUCUGGCAACCGGAACCACCCGAAGGUUAUUAG
RNAcentral lists this long non-coding RNA (1173 nucleotides) under Parus major (Great Tit). RNAcentral's name for it is "lncRNA (ENSPMJG00000009543.1)". The record is from RNAcentral. Lineage: Eukaryota; Metazoa; Chordata; Aves; Passeriformes; Paridae.